Molecule: ribosomal RNA, 2923 nt
Filed under: Klebsiella pneumoniae
Lineage: Bacteria; Pseudomonadati; Pseudomonadota; Gammaproteobacteria; Enterobacterales; Enterobacteriaceae
Description: 23S ribosomal RNA
Rfam family: Bacterial large subunit ribosomal RNA
Source: RNAcentral
GGGUUGUGAGGUUAAGCGACUAAGCGUACACGGUGGAUGCCCUGGCAGUCAGAGGCGAUGAAGGACGUGCUAAUCUGCGAAAAGCGUCGGUAAGGUGAUAUGAACCGUUAUAGCCGGCGAUGUCCGAAUGGGGAAACCCAGUGCAAUUCGUUGCACUAUCGUUAACUGAAUACAUAGGUUAACGAGGCGAACCGGGGGAACUGAAACAUCUAAGUACCCCGAGGAAAAGAAAUCAACCGAGAUUCCCCCAGUAGCGGCGAGCGAACGGGGAGCAGCCCAGAGUCUGAAUCAGCUUGUGUGUUAGUGGAACGGUCUGGAAAGUCCGACGGUACAGGGUGAUAGUCCCGUACACCAAAAUGCACAGGUUGUGAACUCGAAGAGUAGGGCGGGACACGUGGUAUCCUGUCUGAAUAUGGGGGGACCAUCCUCCAAGGCUAAAUACUCCUGACUGACCGAUAGUGAACCAGUACCGUGAGGGAAAGGCGAAAAGAACCCCGGCGAGGGGAGUGAAAAAGAACCUGAAACCGUGUACGUACAAGCAGUGGGAGCACCUUCGGGUGUGACUGCGUACCUUUUGUAUAAUGGGUCAGCGACUUAUAUUCUGUAGCAAGGUUAACCGUAUAGGGGAGCCGCAGGGAAACCGAGUCUUAACUGGGCGUUAAGUUGCAGGGUAUAGACCCGAAACCCGGUGAUCUAGCCAUGGGCAGGUUGAAGGUUGGGUAACACUAACUGGAGGACCGAACCGACUAAUGUUGAAAAAUUAGCGGAUGACUUGUGGCUGGGGGUGAAAGGCCAAUCAAACCGGGAGAUAGCUGGUUCUCCCCGAAAGCUAUUUAGGUAGCGCCUCGUGAAUUCAUCUUCGGGGGUAGAGCACUGUUUCGGCUAGGGGGUCAUCCCGACUUACCAACCCGAUGCAAACUACGAAUACCGAAGAAUGUUAUCACGGGAGACACACGGCGGGUGCUAACGUCCGUCGUGAAGAGGGAAACAACCCAGACCGCCAGCUAAGGUCCCAAAGUCAUGGUUAAGUGGGAAACGAUGUGGGAAGGCACAGACAGCCAGGAUGUUGGCUUAGAAGCAGCCAUCAUUUAAAGAAAGCGUAAUAGCUCACUGGUCGAGUCGGCCUGCGCGGAAGAUGUAACGGGGCUAAACCAUGCACCGAAGCUGCGGCAGCGACACUAUGUGUUGUUGGGUAGGGGAGCGUUCUGUAAGCCUGCGAAGGUGUGCUGUGAGGCAUGCUGGAGGUAUCAGAAGUGCGAAUGCUGACAUAAGUAACGAUAAAGCGGGUGAAAAGCCCGCUCGCCGGAAGACCAAGGGUUCCUGUCCAACGUUAAUCGGGGCAGGGUGAGUCGACCCCUAAGGCGAGGCCGAAAGGCGUAGUCGAUGGGAAACAGGUUAAUAUUCCUGUACUUGGUGUUACUGCGAAGGGGGGACGGAGAAGGCUAUGUUAGCCGGGCGACGGUUGUCCCGGUUUAAGCAUGUAGGCUGGUUAUCCAGGCAAAUCCGGAUAAUCAAGGCUGAGGUGUGAUGACGAGGCACUACGGUGCUGAAGUAACAAAUGCCCUGCUUCCAGGAAAAGCCUCUAAGCAUCAGGUAACAUCAAAUCGUACCCCAAACCGACACAGGUGGUCAGGUAGAGAAUACCAAGGCGCUUGAGAGAACUCGGGUGAAGGAACUAGGCAAAAUGGUGCCGUAACUUCGGGAGAAGGCACGCUGGUGUGUAGGUGAAGUCCCUGCGGAUGGAGCUGAGACCAGUCGAAGAUACCAGCUGGCUGCAACUGUUUAUUAAAAACACAGCACUGUGCAAACACGAAAGUGGACGUAUACGGUGUGACGCCUGCCCGGUGCCGGAAGGUUAAUUGAUGGGGUUAUCCGUAAGGAGAAGCUCUUGAUCGAAGCCCCGGUAAACGGCGGCCGUAACUAUAACGGUCCUAAGGUAGCGAAAUUCCUUGUCGGGUAAGUUCCGACCUGCACGAAUGGCGUAAUGAUGGCCAGGCUGUCUCCACCCGAGACUCAGUGAAAUUGAACUCGCUGUGAAGAUGCAGUGUACCCGCGGCAAGACGGAAAGACCCCGUGAACCUUUACUAUAGCUUGACACUGAACAUUGAGCCUUGAUGUGUAGGAUAGGUGGGAGGCUUUGAAGCGUGGACGCCAGUCUGCGUGGAGCCAACCUUGAAAUACCACCCUUUAAUGUUUGAUGUUCUAACGUUGGCCCCUUAUCGGGGUUGCGGACAGUGUCUGGUGGGUAGUUUGACUGGGGCGGUCUCCUCCCAAAGCGUAACGGAGGAGCACGAAGGUUAGCUAAUCCUGGUCGGACAUCAGGAGGUUAGUGCAAUGGCAUAAGCUAGCUUGACUGCGAGCGUGACGGCGCGAGCAGGUGCGAAAGCAGGUCAUAGUGAUCCGGUGGUUCUGAAUGGAAGGGCCAUCGCUCAACGGAUAAAAGGUACUCCGGGGAUAACAGGCUGAUACCGCCCAAGAGUUCAUAUCGACGGCGGUGUUUGGCACCUCGAUGUCGGCUCAUCACAUCCUGGGGCUGAAGUAGGUCCCAAGGGUAUGGCUGUUCGCCAUUUAAAGUGGUACGCGAGCUGGGUUUAGAACGUCGUGAGACAGUUCGGUCCCUAUCUGCCGUGGGCGCUGGAGAAUUGAGGGGGGCUGCUCCUAGUACGAGAGGACCGGAGUGGACGCAUCACUGGUGUUCGGGUUGUCAUGCCAAUGGCACUGCCCGGUAGCUAAAUGCGGAAGAGAUAAGUGCUGAAAGCAUCUAAGCACGAAACUUGCCCCGAGAUGAGUUCUCCCUGAGACUUUAAGUCUCCUGAAGGAACGUUAAAGACGAUGACGUUGAUAGGCCGGGUGUGUAAGCGCAGCGAUGCGUUGAGCUAACCGGUACUAAUGAACCGUGAGGCUUAACCUUACAACGCCGAAG